ACUGCUUCUUGGCCUUUUGGCUAAGAUCAAGUGUGGUAUCUCUUCUUAUCAGUUUAAUAUCUGAUAAUCCUCUAUCUGAGGACAAUACUUUACAUGUGUUUUUGGAAGUAGGGAUUGUAACAGGAGCUUGCUCUGUCUACCCCAUGCAUAGAUGUAUUUGAGCACCUCCAGGCAUGAUGCACCCUGU
Molecule: small nuclear RNA, 187 nt
Organism: Jaculus jaculus (lesser Egyptian jerboa)
Lineage: Eukaryota; Metazoa; Chordata; Mammalia; Rodentia; Dipodidae
Product: U2 spliceosomal RNA
Exons: 1
Source: RefSeq, a predicted model, not a curated record